CUCAUGUGUGGAGUUUCUAUUGCAGGCCUUCACAUUGGUGAGCUAGCCAAGAGCUGAACCUACAAUCUUCUGAGACAAUGGAGCUGCUCUAAAAAGGGUCAGCUGAGAACCUGGUCAUGAACAGUAACACCUUAAUCAAGCAUUGUGGAAGUCUGAAACUAUACCCCUAAAUACUCUGAGUUAUGUGUCCAGAGCACAAUCUUGUCCACUAUUAUGUGGAUCAGAAGUUGAAGACUCACAUGCGCAGCACUUGGCACUCAGUGGGAUCUCUUCCAAGGCGUUCAUUCUCUGGACAAGUUUUUCUUCAAAGCCAUAAACAUCUGGAAACUGUGCACUAUUCUUGCUAUAGAAAUCAAACUCUCAAGUCCUUAUUUGAUCUCAUGGGGAACAUUCCCACUGCUUUCUUCCGCUGUGCCUUAGAAUUUGGUUUUCUAUUUGACAGAUUAUUUUCCUAGGUGAUGAGGAACCAGUAUCAAUUAGUUUUUUUGUUUGGUUGGUUGGUUUUGUUUUUUGACAGCUGCAUUAUUUAACUAAAUAAUUAAAUCUUGAAGAGAGGAGGAUUUAUACUGAGCUGAGCUUGUUAUAAAAGUAAAGCUAGUCUCAUUUGUCCUUCCUAGGUUUUACCUGUUCUAGAAAGAUGAGGGCUUCAAGAAAUGAAGUUAUUAACCAUGCUUCCUUUUGUGACACCUACACCUAGGAAAAGGAAUGCAUAAACAGGGCAGUUUAUACAGUGAUUUUUUGAGGCACGCUUGCUCAUUCUGAGUAUCAGGCUUUGGGACCUCCUAAGUUGUUUUCUAAGAAAUAACAGUCGAUACGCUCACAUAAUUGAGACAUUAAUAGCUUUUCCAAAAGAAACAGAUCUUGCUUUAUCUGAACAUCGCAACAUUUGGGCUUGGCCUGAUCUUUGAAGUUGGAAAUUUCCACAGCCAGAGGCUCGAAAACAGGUUUUCAUAUAAGGCUCUUGUAUUUGGCCAAAGAUCUUCUUUAAAAGGAAGAGAUUUAAAGGAAUGUUGGAUAGUUUUCACUAUGUAAUCAUGACUUUCCCGUUUUCUCUGUUACUACCAUCAGGUAAUUUUCCCUUCAUAAAGAAUUGUAUUUAGUAUUUUAUUUUUUAACUAAACAUAACCCACUGUUUUUUGUCACAGCUGUAAUGUACCCCCCUGGAGUUUGGGAAUGCAGAUCCCUAUAGCCUGAGAAAAUCCCUGUGCAUCUCAGGAAAGCAAUGGAAAACUCACUUUGAUUAAAAUAUCACGAAAAUGGAAGUAUGAAGUGCAAAUGAGAGAAACACAUCUUUCAUUUUCAUGUCAAGCACUUGAAUAUCAUGUGGAAAAAAUCAAAGCUUACUUUUUGUGACUGCAGGAUGUGGGCCCUUACAUGAACAGAAGCACCAGAGGAGCUGGCCUGUUGAGCAUCGCAUAAACAGGCAUUCAG
Molecule: non-coding RNA, 1431 nt
Organism: Coturnix japonica (Japanese quail)
Lineage: Eukaryota; Metazoa; Chordata; Aves; Galliformes; Phasianidae
Source: RefSeq, a predicted model, not a curated record